RNAcentral lists this long non-coding RNA (287 nucleotides) under Fragaria vesca (wild strawberry). RNAcentral's name for it is "long non-coding RNA (FVES_LNC005589)". Lineage: Eukaryota; Viridiplantae; Streptophyta; Magnoliopsida; Rosales; Rosaceae. The record is from RNAcentral.
AGUCAUUGUAGUUUCGUCUCUGAUUUUUUAUUUGUUGAUCGAACUGUUUUGCUGAUUAUGGAUUUGUUUGUUGGCUCUAUGCAGAUUCACAAGGUGAACACUCUGGUAUCCUACAAGAAUGACGAAUGGGAUGAGGAAUAGGAUCUGGUAUCCUACAAGAAUGACGAAUGGGAUGAGGAAUAGGAUUCCAUUUGUCCUCCUAGACUUUGGUGUUGUGAAUCUUUCUGUUCACAUUUUGUUAAUAGUUCGAAAAGUUGAUGCUGAUGUACUAGUACUAUCUAUUUGCA